CCAAAACUAAGCAAGUAAGGUAAGUAAGGCAGGUAAGAAUAAUAUGAACAAAUAAAUCACUGAAAUGGAAGCUCACUAUAGCAUGAUGUCACUACUUUCAUCAGUAAUAAUCUACCACAUGAUCUCUACUUAGCAUGGAUUUGCAUAAGUAAUAAACUACCACAUGAUCUCUACUUAGCAUGAAUUUGCAUAAGUAAUAAACUAUCAUGGCAUAAUU
This 217-nucleotide long non-coding RNA is filed under the name Ananas comosus (pineapple). RNAcentral describes it as "long non-coding RNA (ACOM_LNC039497)". The record is from RNAcentral. Lineage: Eukaryota; Viridiplantae; Streptophyta; Magnoliopsida; Poales; Bromeliaceae.